UCCUGAUCGCAGGUGGAAAGGCGCAUAUGAUCCUCCUCCAGUACAGGAAGAAGUUGCUGGAAAUGCUGGUAAACCGGUGGAAGAAAAAGUAUCUCCUAGAAGGCGCAAUGUACUCCCCAAUCUCGGUUUGCACUGAGUCAACAUGAUAUGAAUUGGGCCACAAGGUAUUGUAAUAUUUUUUUUCCAUUUGAUAUUUGAAAUACACAGCUGAAAAUAAUAAUCAGUAUUCUGUAAUUUAAAAUUUAUGUUUAUAUGCACCCUUUUCAAUUGCAGGUAAAUCGAAGGGCCUUAAUUAAUGAAAAAACCAAGGAUCUGCAUCGCAAGAAGGGGUCCUUUCUUCGUCUUCUAUUGCGUUUUUUUUUUUCUCUUUUUUUUUACCCCUUUCAAUUAUGUAAGCAGAAAACUAUCGAACAUCUUCGGUAAUAAGUUUAGCUAAUGUGGCCUUGUUGCCUAUUUUGCAUUGAACUUAACUUUUAUACAACGAUAGUCGAAGAAACUUUUACACUAUCAGGUUAACUUUAUUUAUAAU
RNAcentral lists this long non-coding RNA (529 nucleotides) under Nicotiana tabacum (common tobacco). RNAcentral describes it as "long non-coding RNA (NTAB_LNC012852)". Lineage: Eukaryota; Viridiplantae; Streptophyta; Magnoliopsida; Solanales; Solanaceae. The record is from RNAcentral.